CAGCCGCCGCGGUAAUACCGGCGGCCCGAGUGGCGGCCACUAUUAUUGGGCCUAAAGCGUCCGUAGCCGGGCUGGUAAGUCCUCCGGGAAAUCUGGUCGCUUAACGAUCAGACUUCCGGAGGAUACUGCUGGCCUAGGGACCGGGAGAGGCCGGGGGUAUUCCCGGGGUAGGGGUGAAAUCCUGUAAUCCCGGGAGGACCACCUGUGGCGAAGGCGCUCGGCUGGAACGGGUCCGACGGUGAGGGACGAAGGCCAGGGGAGCGAACCGGAUUAGAUACCCGGGUAGUCCUGGCUGUAAACGAUGCGGACUAGGUGUCGGGCAAGCUAAGGGCUUGUCCGGUGCCGCAGGGAAGCCGUUAAGUCCGCCGCCUGGGGAGUACGGCCGCAAGGCUGAAACUUAAAGGAAUUGGCGGG
RNAcentral lists this ribosomal RNA (414 nucleotides) under uncultured microorganism. Its description in RNAcentral is "bacterial SSU rRNA". It matches the Rfam family "Archaeal small subunit ribosomal RNA", at positions 459 to 872 of the family's 1478-position model. The record is from RNAcentral.